CCUACGGGAGGCAGCAGUGAGGAAUAUUGGUCAAUGGACGAGAGUCUGAACCAGCCAAGUAGCGUGAAGGAUGACUGCCCUAUGGGUUGUAAACUUCUUUUAUAAAGGAAUAAAACGAGGCACGUGUUCCUUUUUGCAUGUACUUUAUGAAUAAGGAUCGGCUAACUCCGUGCCAGCAGCCGCGGUAAUACGGAGGAUCCGAGCGUUAUCCGGGUUUAUUGGGUUUAAAGGGAGCGUAGAUGGUUUGUUAAGUCAGUUGUGAAAGUUUGCGGCUCAACCGUAAAAUUGCAAUUGAUACUGGGAGUCUUGAGUACAGUUGAGGUAGGCGGAAUUCGUGGUGUAGCGGUGAAAUGCUUAGAUAUCACGAAGAACCCCGAUUGCGAAGGCAGCUUACUAAACUGUGACUGACAUUGAUGCUCGAAAGUGUGGGUAUCAAACAGGAUUAGAUACCCUAGUAGUC
Molecule: ribosomal RNA, 460 nt
Filed under: uncultured bacterium
Lineage: Bacteria
Description: partial 16S ribosomal RNA
Rfam family: Bacterial small subunit ribosomal RNA
Source: RNAcentral